RNAcentral lists this transfer RNA (60 nucleotides) under Loxodonta africana (African savanna elephant). It matches the Rfam family "tRNA", at positions 7 to 64 of the family's 71-position model. From Rfam's summary of the family: Transfer RNA (tRNA) molecules are approximately 80 nucleotides in length. Their secondary structure includes four short double-helical elements and three loops (D, anti-codon, and T loops). Further hydrogen bonds mediate the characteristic L-shaped molecular structure. tRNAs have two regions of fundamental functional importance: the anti-codon, which is responsible for specific mRNA codon recognition, and the 3' end, to which the tRNAs corresponding amino acid is attached (by aminoacyl-tRNA synthetases). tRNAs cope with the degeneracy of the genetic code in two manners: having more than one tRNA (with a specific anti-codon) for a particular amino acid; and 'wobble' base-pairing, i.e. permitting non-standard base-pairing at the 3rd anti-codon position. Lineage: Eukaryota; Metazoa; Chordata; Mammalia; Proboscidea; Elephantidae. The record is from Rfam by way of RNAcentral.
GUGGCGCAAUGGUUAAAGCAUUGGGCUGCUACCUCAGAGGUUGGUGGUUCAAAGCCACCC